Molecule: ribosomal RNA, 433 nt
Filed under: uncultured bacterium
Lineage: Bacteria
Description: partial 16S ribosomal RNA
Rfam family: Bacterial small subunit ribosomal RNA
Source: RNAcentral
AACGAACGCUGGCGGCAUGCCUAACACAUGCAAGUCGAACGAGACCUUCGGGUCUAGUGGCGCACGGGUGCGUAACGCGUGGGAACCUGCCCUUAGGUUCGGAAUACCUCCCCGAAAGGGGUGCUAAUACCGGUUAAUGUCUUCGGACCAAAGAUUUAUCGCCUUUGGAUGGGCCUGCGUUGGAUUCGCUAGUUGGUAGGGUAAAAGCCUACCAAGGCGACGAUCCAUGGCUGGUCUGAGAGGAUGAUCAACCACACUGGCAAUGAGACACGGCCCAGACUCCUACGGGAGGCAGCAGUAGGGAAUAUUGGAGGAUGGGGGAAAGCCUGAUCCAGCAAUGCCGCGUGAGAGAGGAAGGCGUUAGGGUUGUAAAGCUGUUUGACACGGGAUGAUAAUGACAGUAACGGGAGAAUAAGCACCGGCUAACUCCGUG